RNAcentral lists this ribosomal RNA (484 nucleotides) under uncultured Flavobacteriaceae bacterium. Its description in RNAcentral is "bacterial SSU rRNA". It matches the Rfam family "Bacterial small subunit ribosomal RNA", at positions 28 to 505 of the family's 1533-position model. Lineage: Bacteria; Pseudomonadati; Bacteroidota; Flavobacteriia; Flavobacteriales; Flavobacteriaceae. The record is from RNAcentral.
GAUGAACGCUAGCGGCAGGCCUAACACAUGCAAGUCGAGGGGUAACAUAGAGAAGCUUGCUUUUCUGAUGACGACCGGCGCACGGGUGCGUAACGCGUAUACAAUCUACCUUGUACUGAGGAAUAGCCCAGAGAAAUUUGGAUUAAUGCUUCAUAGUCUAUAUUAAUGGCAUCAUUAAGAUAGUAAAGGUUACGGUACAAGAUGAGUAUGCGUUCUAUUAGCUAGUUGGUAUGGUAACGGCAUACCAAGGCAACGAUAGAUAGGGGCCCUGAGAGGGGGAUCCCCCACACUGGUACUGAGACACGGACCAGACUCCUACGGGAGGCAGCAGUGAGGAAUAUUGGACAAUGGAGGCAACUCUGAUCCAGCCAUGCCGCGUGCAGGAAGACUGCCCUAUGGGUUGUAAACUGCUUUUAUACAGGAAGAAACAUCUCUACGUGUAGAGACUUGACGGUACUGUAAGAAUAAGGAUCGGCUAACUCCG